Molecule: ribosomal RNA, 160 nt
Filed under: Pseudomonadales bacterium T2B080
Lineage: Bacteria; Pseudomonadati; Pseudomonadota; Gammaproteobacteria; Pseudomonadales
Description: partial 16S rRNA
Rfam family: Bacterial small subunit ribosomal RNA
Source: RNAcentral
UGGGCAAUAUUGGACAAUGGGCGAAAGCCUGAUCCAGCCAUGCCGCGUGUGUGAAGAAGGUCUUCGGAUUGUAAAGCACUUUAAGUUGGGAGGAAGGGUUGUAGAUUAAUACUCUGCAAUUUUGACGUUACCGACAGAAUAAGCACCGGCUAACUCUGUG